CAUAUUUAAAUACAUCAAGGCAAUUAGCCCAUCAAAAUAUGCAAAUCCCCCUCCUUACUACAUUGCCAGUGCAGCACGGCCGCAGUCGGAGGAUAAUUUGUACACCCACUACAGCGUGCGUGUGUUUUUUAAUGACUGCCGUUUUGAAAGAGCGACCACUGCGUUUGUUUUAUUCCAACAAGAAGGCAUAUAAAGCGAGCGGGACGGAAAGAGGAAGGCAUGAAGAAGAGAAGAAGAAGUGGAACCGGGAGACUGCUGCUGCUGCUGCGUGGAAAAAACGCCCAUGCGUAAUGAGACCAUCCGCGCCGACUAUUCUAUCUUAAUUCCUCGACGCCGUUGGCUCUGGUUUCUUGGGAACAUGCAACGCCUCUGGACGAUGAAGAUGACGACCAUGACGAUUAAACAGGGUCGGCGUCGAUGAAAAUUACUAAAUGGUGAAUGGUGACAUCUAGUGGUAAACUUGGAGAAUGCGCUCUGUGGAGGAAGAGUAGUGGUUUACCAGCUUCCACGACUCGUGCAGCUUGAAUAAUCCUGACUGUUGAUAGAAAAAGAAGAAAUAUUUAAUGCAUUCGUGCAUUCGUCGUCUUAGCCCCAAUUAGUUCAUGAUUUUUAGCUUUAAAAAGUUCCCUCUGCUCUACCAAUGAAGCAAGUAGGCGGAAGGCUGGGCAAAUUAAUGCGAUUUGGAUCGAGAUGGACUUUGGUAGAUGCGCGCGCCUUGUUCUUUGUAACAGUUAAUUUUUAAUUUUCGUAAUCUCUUAAUAGUCGAUUGAUAUUUUUUCCUUUGCGUCAGUGCUCGUCUUUGAUAGACUCUGAUCUACUCAAUCGAAUCCACCCGGUCCACGAAUGACUCGAUUUCGUUAAUUGCAGCAGCGAAUUAUAUACAGCUCUGAUAAAAGCUGCAUUUUUUUUCUUAAAAAAUUAUGAAACCACUUAAAAUGAUCGUUUUAUCCGAUUUUACUUUUUAUAUGUGUUUGAGUAAAAUGAACAUUGUUCGUUUAUUCUAUAAACUACUGACAACGUGCCUCCGAAAUUCCAAGCAAAAAAUUUAGUAUUUAUUUGCAGAAAAUGAGAAAUGGUCAAAAUAACGAAAAAGAUGCAUUGCUUUCAGACGUCAAAUAAUGCGAAGGAAAAACGUUCAUAUUCAAUUAGAAAGAACAAUACUAAUGUUUUAACUCAGGAAGAGUUCAGAAAUCAUUAUUUGGAAUAACCAUGAGGAUUUCAAUGCUGUUCAGAAUGUUGAGAUUAUUUUACAUUGCAUUACAUACUUACAUGCAAAUAUGACGUGGAACAAUAAACUAUCCAUUAAAACUGCACUUGGAAUUAAUUAAUGCAAUCAUUUUGUCAGUAAUAUUUGUUGUGAUUGUACUAUUUAGCUUAUUGGAUUUUUAGCGACUUACUUUUUGUUCAUGUUUAGAUUAUUUAGAUAAAUAAUGAAUGUUUUUUUUUUUUCCUGUCUGUCAUUUUUGCUGCUUACAUCAGUUUAAUAGAAACUCAAAUAGGCCACCAGCUAAAUCUUUGCUGCGCUGCAUGCACUAUGUAGCUCGAUUUGAAGUUCGAACUAUUAUGCAAAGACUCGAAAAAUCAAACUAAAUUGCGACACGACGUUAUUUUUUAGAGCGUUCCAGCGGUUUAAUGUGACCAAUGGAAACCGAUAAGGAUUCACCAGCGAUCAACACACGAAGUAUACUGUAAAGAUAAUAAUACAUAGCGCUAUAGCGCUAUGUAUUAUUAUCUUUACCUUUAAAAAAAACAGAUUCAUGAGAAAAUGAAUCUGUUUAUGCGCUCUACUGAGCAUUUAAUAACACAACUGAGAUAAUUCCAAUGAAUUGCAAUUUAUUAGUUUACUUGACAUGAAAUAGGAUGAAUAGAAACUGAUAGAUUUUGUACUUUGCGUUUUGUCUUUAUAUGCAAGGAAUGAAAAAAGACUUAGAUAAUGUUCAAAGCAAGUGUCGUAUUUCCUUGUAGACGGAAUUUGUUCAACCCUUGUUUAUGGAGGGAUGAACAAAUAGAGACAGGGUCUAAGAUAUCUUUGUUCUGUUUUAUGUCUUUAUUUCUAAUAUUUCAUGUUUCCCUUUUUUGUCACUGACGUAGCUGUACGGUCAUCCCAUCAAUCUAAUCAGUUGUCCUGAUUGGCCCAAAUGUAUUGUAAGAUCACAAAUACGCCAUGAAGUGACGUCAACGUUGCAGGUUUUUCAUAAUGAAGCUAUUUUUCAGCUAGGCCCUUAAUUUUUUUAUUUAUCUAUUACGAAAAGAUGACUAUCGACUUAACACGGCCCUACUUUGAUGAUUUUUUUAGUUGAUUUAUUAAGUCUUUUGUUGUCUUUUUAGUGCGUUCUUUCAUCGUCAUCACAGCAGUUUUGAACAGUUCUCUUUAUUAGGCCUAUUAUAAUGUAAGCUCAAAAAGCGCCAUCCAAUGACGUCAAAAAUGGCAGAUUUUUCACAAUAAAGCCGUAGCGCAGCGAAACCUGUGAAUUUACUUAAUUUGUACAAGUCAAAAAAGUAAAAAAAAAAAAAAAAUAGGAGAAACGUAUAAGUGAAUAUUGGAAUUUUUUUAACCUAUACUGUUUUCUGACUAUAUUGAAGAUCGAAUGAGCUCUACCAGCUUCUGUGAGUUUCCAUGUGGUAAUGAAACUAAUUGUGAAUAUUGAAAUAAAGUGUGGAUUUUGCGUUUUACCACUAUUUAAUAUUAACCAUCCUUAUGACAAAGGUUAACCUAAAAUUUAUUAUAUUCUAGAUUUUAGGGAAUUGAGAGAAAAUGAGAGCUGAAGGCUCAAGUGCAUCGUGUUUUCAUUUGGUUUUCUUUUUUAAACUUUAUUUCUUGAAGGACUUCUUUGUAACAUUAUCACAUUAUUAUUAAGCAAAUCUCCGGAUUAUGCCUGUUCUAUUUUAAGCUCACAAAUGAGAAAUACAGUGAUGUGAAAAUUAUAGAUAUCCACAAUAAGAACCCAUAUGAGCUAACCUCAUUGAUUGCUUUAUUUUCAGCUAUGUGUUGAUCAUUUGAAUGAGCAAAAAACAAUGGGAACAAAUAUCGAGAUGACAUAUAUUUUCCCUGUAUAAUCGGUUAUCUUUUAUGCUUUAAUAUUUUCAUUAUUUUUAUUUAGAAUCCAAUGAGCCAAUCAUGGUUUGAGCAACAGUUUGAGCAACACAAACUGUGUUUGCUUUUUUCCAUGUACUGUUUCUUCUACCUGAUGGAGAACACGUGUCUGUUCUUUGAUUUGCCAGAGACCUUUUUCACUAAUAAAAUAUAUAACCACUGUAAUUAUAAGUGUGAGAAAAAAAAAUAUAAGUUUUUCAUUAAAUUGUUUAAUGUAUGUUUAAAUAAAAAGAAAUGCAGUCUCUCUUUCCGUUGUUGAGUGUUAAGCAGUUGACAUUGUUAUUCAGAAAAUCCCAGAGAAUACUGUCUUAUUGAUGUGUUGUUCUAAAUGGGACGAAUAACUGCUUAGACAAGCAUGUAUAGAAACAAAUCCAACACAAUAAAAUCACACUGAGUCACAUCAGGAUAACUAGGAAAGCCAGUAACUUUACUGAAAUCUCUGCAAAAUACAAAUAGCCUUUCCCUCAAGCAGAGGAGACUUGGACUCCAUCCCCACACGUUUUUUUUAUUUUUUAUUUUACUACAUACAGCUGAAACAAGUCCCUUGAGUUACAGAGAUGUGAUUUAAUUUAAAACCAUCUUAGUCUCAGGUGGCGACAAAGGCCAGCUUAUGCCGCUGAAAGCCGCUCUCUUGCGUUCCAGAAAAAAAACAAAAAAACCAAAACAAAAAACAUUACUUCCCAACUUUCUCCCAUUUUUUUCAGGUUUAUACAAGCUACAUUGAUACUAAAGACUGACUUUGAAGUAUUUUUUAUUUUUAUUUUUUAUACCAUAUUACACUUUAAAAAAAUCUUUUUUUUUCAUUUUUUUUUACGUUUUGAGCACAACUUAAAUAAACCACAAACACAGUGGAGCAACAAAGAGUCCUGUGUAAAUGCCAGGACAUUUAGCAUUUGUAAGUUAAUACACAUGGCUGUACAGGUGUAUGGUCUCCCCUUUGCACUGCAGGUUACUUUAUCAAAAAUCAGCUGAGGUACUGCUUAGGUCAAUUUUGAGGUACCGACACUUACACCAGACGUGUUCAAAUAAAAAGGCAACACUACAAAUUUUCUCCGUCUUUGGUAAAAAUUAUUAAAACUAGAGCAGGGAGUAGUGACAGGUCUGGAUGAAUUUCUUGAUUCUGAGCAAAAACCCAAUUUUUGUUUUGCUAAUAUGAACCUUUUGCAAUGCAAUACACAGGGAGAGGAAAGAAAAGAAGAGCGAUCAAACAGAGAAACUGUUCAAGCAGAUUAACAAAAAAAACCCCCAAAAAGCAAAAAAACCUGAAGCUACACCCAACUAACUAUGAUUGAAAUGUGAAAAAAACAAUUGUACAUUUGAGCAAAUUCUUUUAUUAUCUUUUUUUCAAUGCUUGCAAAAAAGAAAAUGGAUGUGAAAAUAAAAGUUGAUUUUACAAUACAGAAAUGCCACUGGCUUUGGUUUCUCCACACUUUAUGCUGCCUGAAACAUCAUAUUUAUUUAUUUUUCCAACUGUAUUUUUUUUGUUUGUUUUUUUUUGUAUUGAAGUUUUAAAAAAUAAAAGAAAGAACACCGUUACAGAGGCUCUGCCCCAUUUGACUACACAGACUGUAUACAGUAACAACAUUGUGAACCUGCAUGAAAUAUGCACACAGAAAUAGUAUAACACUUAAGUGACAGCAGAUACGGGAGUGGGAGGCAGAGAGAGAUAUGUGGCUAGUUUCAUUGUUUAAAAUCAAAAGAAGAAAAAGAAAAUCCAAAACAACUAUUUAUCUAAAAUUAACAAAUUGUGCUUUUCCCAUACCAGCAUGAUCAGUUUCUUCCUUUUUGCUGAACUGUCAAUGGCCUCAAGUGGAAAUGCAUUUUGAAGACUGGAACAUGAGCGGAGACCGCAAGGAGAAGAAUCAGCUGAGGUUGAUAAAUGAUAAUGAUAAUCAAUGGGAAUUCAUCAUGAUGCAUUUGCAAAGUUACAUUAGGUAAAUAUGAUUCGAAAGGAAACAGUCCAGUUCGGGUGAGCUUUGUCAAACAUCUAGAACACACGAUUGGAGAAGACCUGAGAUUUCAAUAUAAUGUCAAAACACUGCUUUAUGAGAUUAUUGGGAUUAAAUUAGAUCAUUUUUAAAUCCCUAUGAUUCAUCUAAAUUUAUACAAACGCAACCAGUUUCCCAUCAUAUGUAUUUUUGUGUGAGAUGAGCAGAAUACAUCGAGCCUUUUAUUUCUAUUCAUCUCCAGUUUCAGUCUUCUGACAUUUUCCACAAGCACACUGUUUUUGUGAUUUUUUUUUUUCACCAUUCAGCAUUCAGGCCCCAUCUCCUCUGUGUUGCACAAAUCCAGCUGGUUUCUAAAGUUAGUCUAAAUACAAACCCCUUCAACAGCACUGUUCAGAGUUCAAAUGAAACAAAAACCAGACAACAUGUGCAACUGCACAUAGAAACUUCACUAAGAAACAAAAAAAAAAUCAUUAUAUAUAUUCAUAUAUUAGAAAGCUAUACACAAGCAUGUUAAUUUCACAGAUUUUUUUUAAAGAUUCUUAAUAUUACCAUUAUUAUAUAUAAUAAUUAGAAAUACACGUUUAAAAACAAACCUCUACAAAGAUAAAACAGUUCAGCAAAGCAUUGGAUCUCAAUCUGUUUUUCAUGGCUUAGGGCGUGAAAGCCCAAUCAUCCCCCCAACCCUCUCUCUUUCUCUGGGUGAACUAUCCCUCUUUCAUUAGCAAAGCUAUCAAAAACACAUUCUGGCUUAUAGAAACUACAAAAAGCCACAAAAUGCUUUGCAUUGUAUUCCUUUCAUAUGAAAAUAUAAGCAAGUGUAUCGUACAAUUGUUGUUUUUUUGUCAUUUUUUUCGUCUUUUUUUUUUUUUUUUUUGUUCAUCAAUACUGAGAAGUUAAUACUAGAACCCGAGUUUUCAUGAUUACACCAAUGCAGCUCUUAGAUCAAAGGGUGGUCCUCACUCCGUCCUCUAACCAGAGUCCCAAAAAAAAAAAAAAAAAAAAAA
Long non-coding RNA from Xiphophorus maculatus (southern platyfish), 6047 nucleotides. RefSeq lists it as uncharacterized. The transcript has 2 exons. NCBI's taxonomy places the organism in Eukaryota, Metazoa, Chordata, Actinopteri, Cyprinodontiformes, Poeciliidae. The record is from RefSeq and is a predicted model, not a curated record.